GUCUAUUGGACAGUGAUAUCUGAAGGGAGAGAGUGUACAAUAUGCAGCAAAAGGCCACAGGACGUAUUCUACCAGGAAAACCUUGUCAUAUAAAACCUUCCUCACUACUGAUGUCAAAGUGGAGGUGGUGUGGGUGUUUAACCGGCAGCGAGGGUUUAAUAAAAGACACAGUCAAGUUGUAUUUUGGGAGUUUGAUGCACACAACGGGCCAAAAGUCA
Molecule: long non-coding RNA, 218 nt
Organism: Larimichthys crocea (large yellow croaker)
Lineage: Eukaryota; Metazoa; Chordata; Actinopteri; Sciaenidae
Exons: 3
Source: RefSeq, a predicted model, not a curated record